CGCGAAGUCAAGGAAACCGGUGCAUGCGUGACGCUUGUGCUGCUCCGGUGCCGAAGCUACGCAAGA
Non-coding RNA from Leptomonas seymouri, 66 nucleotides. The record is from Rfam. NCBI's taxonomy places the organism in Eukaryota, Euglenozoa, Kinetoplastea, Trypanosomatida, Trypanosomatidae.